GACGAACGCUGGCGGCGUGCUUAACACAUGCAAGUCGAACGGAAAGGCCUGCUUUCCCUUGUGGAUUGCGGGUGCUCGAGUGGCGAACGGGUGAGUAACACGUGAGUGAUCUGCCCCCAACUUGGGUAUAAGCCUGGGAAACUGGGUCUAAUUCCCGAUAGGACUGCAGGGUGGUGCCUGUGGUGGAAAACGAUUUUCUAGUGGUUGGGGAUGAGCUCGCGGCCUAUCAGCUUGUUGGUGGGGUAAUGGCCUACCAAGGCGGCGACGGGUAGCCGGCCUGAGAGGGUGGACGGCAACAUUGGGACUGAGAUACGGCCCAGACUCCUACGGGAGGCAGCAGUGGGGAAUAUUGCACAAUGGGCGGAAGCCUGAUGCAGCGACGCCGCGUGGGGGAUGACGGCCUUCGGGUUGUAAACUCCUUUCGACCGCGAGGAAGCCGCCUGGUUGGAAGGGUGGUGACGGUAGUGGUAGAAGAAGCACCGGCUAACUACGUG
RNAcentral lists this ribosomal RNA (494 nucleotides) under uncultured bacterium. RNAcentral describes it as "partial 16S ribosomal RNA". It matches the Rfam family "Bacterial small subunit ribosomal RNA", at positions 28 to 507 of the family's 1533-position model. The record is from RNAcentral.